UCCAAAGGCGAGUACUUAGCAUUUCCUCUC
RNAcentral lists this non-coding RNA (30 nucleotides) under Mus musculus (house mouse). Lineage: Eukaryota; Metazoa; Chordata; Mammalia; Rodentia; Muridae. The record is from RNAcentral.